GCUGGCGGCAUGCCUAACACAUGCAAGUCGAACGGAAACGAUGGGAGCUUGCUCCCAGGCGUCGAGUGGCGGACGGGUGAGUAAUACAUAGGAAUCUGCCCAGUAGCGGGGGACAACUUGGGGAAACUCAAGCUAAUACCGCAUACGCCCUACGGGGGAAAGCAGGGGAUCUUCGGACCUUGCACUAUUGGAUGAGCCUAUGUCAGAUUAGCUUGUUGGUAGGGUAAUGGCCUACCAAGGCGACGAUCUGUAGCUGGUCUGAGAGGACGAUCAGCCACACUGGGACUGAGACACGGCCCAGACUCCUACGGGAGGCAGCAGUGGGGAAUAUUGCACAAUGGGCGAAAGCCUGAUGCAGCAAUGCCGCGUGUGUGAAGAAGGCCUGCGGGUUGUAAAGCACUUUCAGUAGGGAGGAAACAGUUGCGGGUUAAUACCCCGCGACCUUGACGUUACCUACAGAAGAAGCACCGGCUAACUCUGUGCCAGCAGCCGGCGGUAAUACAGAGGGUGCAAGCGUUAAUCGGAAUUACUGGGCGUAAAGCGCGCGUAGGCGGCUUGGUCAGUCGG
RNAcentral lists this ribosomal RNA (567 nucleotides) under uncultured Gammaproteobacteria bacterium. RNAcentral describes it as "bacterial SSU rRNA". It matches the Rfam family "Bacterial small subunit ribosomal RNA", at positions 35 to 591 of the family's 1533-position model. Lineage: Bacteria; Pseudomonadati; Pseudomonadota; Gammaproteobacteria. The record is from RNAcentral.